Molecule: ribosomal RNA, 714 nt
Filed under: uncultured marine bacterium
Lineage: Bacteria
Description: bacterial SSU rRNA
Rfam family: Bacterial small subunit ribosomal RNA
Source: RNAcentral
GCAUGCAAGUAGAGCGAAGCUUUUUGGUAGUUUACUACUAGAAAUGACUGAGCGGCGAACGGGUGAGUAACGCGUGAGCAAUCUACCUUAGUUACUGGGAUAGCCCGAGGAAACUCGGAUUAAUACCGGAUAUUCUUAUUUUUUCACAUGAAGUUUUAAGGAAAGGUCAGCCGAACUAAGAUGAGCUCGCGUUCUAUCAGCUAGUUGGUGGGGUAAAAGCCUACCAAGGCUACGACGGAUAGCUGGUCUGAGAGGACGAUCAGCCACACUGGGACUGAGACACGGCCCAGACUCCUACGGGAGGCUGCAGCAGGGAAUAUUGUGCAAUGAGCGAAAGCUUGGCACAGCGACACCGCGUGUGGGAUGACGGUUCUAGGAUUGUAAACCACUUUCAGGAGGGAAGAAAAUGACGGUACCUCCACAAGAAGACCCGGCCAACUAUGUGCCAGCAGCCGCGGUAAUACAUAGGGGUCAAGCGUUGUCCGGAUUUAUUGGGCGUAAAGAGCUCGUAGGCGGUUCAACAAGUCGGUCGUAAAAGUUUAGGGCUCAACCCCUAAAAUGUCGAUCGAUACUGUUGUGACUAGGAUACGGUAGAGGUGAAUGGAAUUCCGAGUGUAGCGGUGAAAUGCGUAGAUAUUCGGAGGAACACCAAUUUGCGAAAGCAGUUCACUGGACCGUGAUCGACGCUGAGGAGCGAAAGCUAGGGGAGCAAAC